UACGUAGGGGGCAAGCGUUGUCCGGAUUUAUUGGGCGUAAAGAGCGUGUAGGCGGCUUUGCAAGUCCGUUGUGAAAACUCGAGGCUCAACCUCGAGACGCCGGUGGAAACUGCAAAGCUAGAGUCCGGAAGAGGAGAGUGGAAUUCCUGGUGUAGCGGUGAAAUGCGCAGAUAUCAGGAAGAACAUCCGUGGCGAAGGCGGCUCUCUGGGACGGUACUGACGCUGAGACGCGAAAGCGUGGGGAGCGAACAGG
Molecule: ribosomal RNA, 253 nt
Filed under: uncultured bacterium
Lineage: Bacteria
Description: partial 16S ribosomal RNA
Rfam family: Bacterial small subunit ribosomal RNA
Source: RNAcentral